UACGGAGGGUGCGAGCGUUAAUCGGAAUUACUGGGCGUAAAGCGUGCGUAGGUGGUUAUUUAAGUCAGAUGUGAAAGCCCUGAGCUCAACUUAGGAAUGGCAUUUGAUACUGGAUAGCUAGAGUUUGGGAGAGGAGAGUGGAAUUUCAGGUGUAGCGGUGAAAUGCGUAGAUAUCUGAAAGAACACCAGUGGCGAAGGCGACUCUCUGGACUAAAACUGACGCUGAGGCACGAAAGCAUGGGGAGCAAACAGG
RNAcentral lists this ribosomal RNA (253 nucleotides) under uncultured bacterium. RNAcentral's name for it is "partial 16S ribosomal RNA". It matches the Rfam family "Bacterial small subunit ribosomal RNA", at positions 524 to 776 of the family's 1533-position model. The record is from RNAcentral.